UUGUGCCUACGGGACGCAGCAGUGGGGAAUAUUGGGCAAUGGGCGCAAGCCUGACCCAGCAACGCCGCGUGAAGGAAGAAGGCUUUCGGGUUGUAAACUUCUUUUCUCAGGGACGAAGAAAGUGACGGUACCUGAGGAAUAAGCCACGGCUAACUACGUGCCAGCAGCCGCGGUAAUACGUAGGUGGCAAGCGUUAUCCGGAUUUAUUGGGUGUAAAGGGCGUGUAGGCGGGAGGGCACGU
Molecule: ribosomal RNA, 241 nt
Filed under: uncultured bacterium
Lineage: Bacteria
Description: partial 16S ribosomal RNA
Rfam family: Bacterial small subunit ribosomal RNA
Source: RNAcentral